Molecule: long non-coding RNA, 848 nt
Filed under: Mytilus galloprovincialis (Mediterranean mussel)
Lineage: Eukaryota; Metazoa; Mollusca; Bivalvia; Mytilida; Mytilidae
Source: RNAcentral
GUGGUGCAGAUAUCUCUCAAGACUUUUCCUAGAGAAAAGAAAUUGCAAUGCCGUAAAAAUCGCUUGCUAGGUCCGUAAAUCUCAGUGAAAUCCUACAAUAAAAUGUCCGCUCCUAGAUUGAAAUACUAAUCUGUGUUACAAACAGGUGCUGAAAAAUGUACAUUAUCAGAAAAUAAUCCUUAAAUGUGUAUUAAAGUUACACCGGAUCAAUUAAAUCCAAAACAUGCACUGCUGGUGAACUGUGAUCAAAAUGUCAAUUUCCUACAAUGACAAAAGAAAUGACAUUGUGUACAUUCCGUAUCUAUACAUGUUGUCUAUUCAACGUCCCCACCUAAAAAGGAAUAAAUAUACUAAGUUUUCGUUAUUAUAAACCCACGUCACGUGAUGUCUCCUCAAUCUGGUGCGAGAAGUCGCGCGCUGGACCUGAAAUAAAAUAAAAACUUUCCGAACUAAACAUGAAACUUCCCCAGAAUAAUAUAGACCCCUUACAGAAACAAACAAACAAACAAACACACACACACAUAACAAACAAUCAUGUUUCAAAGGGGGAAAGACCGUUUACAAUUGCUUUUUAAAAGCAAUUGAUUUAUAUUUAAUGUUUAGUUUUGUCCUUUCGUUUAAAUUUACAAUAAAAACUGAACGCAAUAAUUUUUUGAUCUUACAGUUAUCAUGAAAAUGACAUCAACAGUAUUAGAAAUAAUUAAAAUUUAAUAAAAAUGGAAGAAAACAACAUUAUCAGUUGAAAAAGCAUAAUAAUAUAUAUAGGUAAUGGUAAAUUCAAAAACAAAAAAAGCACAAAAGGGUCUGUGCAUCUCAUUUACUUGUUAAAAACAGAAAUGAUGAAAAAC